This is a long non-coding RNA of Exaiptasia diaphana, 338 nucleotides long. RefSeq lists it as uncharacterized. The transcript is spliced from 4 exons. The record is from RefSeq and is a predicted model, not a curated record. NCBI's taxonomy places the organism in Eukaryota, Metazoa, Cnidaria, Anthozoa, Actiniaria, Aiptasiidae.
GUUUCUUUUAUUAACCUGUCUGUUUGCUCAUUUGUUCACCUUAAGGGAAAUCAUCACGUGCAUCAAGCAAGUUCAAGUGGAGAAGUGAAGAAUGAAUGAAGAUGAAUGAAUCUUGAUAUCUGCUAAUACAAGUAUUCCUAGAAAGAGAUGAAAUAAUUCGCACUAAUUUCAUUAAUGCUGGCUUGGAGCAUUUGUUUGUGGAUGUUAUGGUGGCCGAUGCUUCCAGGCAAGUACUUCGACCAACGCCUAUCUUUGAUGCAAUCAUCACUGAUCCUCCUUAUGGAGUCCGUGAAGGUGUUCGCAGUCAAAUGUCUGAAAAAGAACUUACUGAGAAUAGG